ACCACUGAUGAUGAUAUCACCGUGCUUGUUGACAACGGCUCCAGCAUGUGCAAGGCCGGCUUUGCAAGUGACGAUGCCCAUCCUGGGCCACCUUCCCCUCCAUCGUGGGGCACCCCAGGCACCAGGGUGUGAUUGUGGGCAUGGGUCAGAAGGACUCACGUGGGUGAUGAGGCCCAGAUCAAGAGAGGCAUCCUGACCCUGAAGUACCCCAUUCGAGCAGGACAUCGUCACCACCUGGGACGACAUGGAGAAGAUCUGGCACCACACCUUCUACAACGAGCUGUGUGUGGCUGCCAAGGAGCACCCCAUGCUGCUGACCAAGGCCCCCUGAACCCUAAGGCCAACCGCAAGAAGAUGACCCAGAUCAUGUUUGAGAUCUUCAACACACCAGUCAUGUACGUAGCCAUCCAGGCCGUGCUGCCCCUGUACACCUCUGGCCAUACCAUUGACAUCGUGAUGGACUCCAGUGACGGGGUCACCCACACUGUGCCCAUCUACAAGGAGUAUGCCCUCCCCUACGCCAUCUUGCAUGUGGACCUGGCUGGCCCGGACCUGAUUGACUACCUUAUGAAGAUCCUCACCUAGCACAGCUACAUCUUCACUGCCACAGCCAAGUGAGAAAUGGUGCAUGACAUCAAGGAGAGGCUGUGCUAUGUCACCCUGGACUUCGAGCAGGAGAGGGCCAUGGUGGCCUCCAGCUCCUCCCUGGAGAUAGCUACAAGCUGCCCGAUGGCCAGGUCAUCACCAUCGGCAACAAGCAGUUCCGCUGCCCCGAGGUGCUCUUCCAGCCUUCCUUCCUGGGCAUGGAAUCCUGUGGCAUCCAUGAAACUACCUUCAACUCCAUCAUGAAGUGUGAUGUGGACAUUCUCAAGGACCUGUAUGCCAACACAGUGCUGUCUGGCGGCACCACCAUGUACCCUGGCAUCGCUGAUAGGAUGCAGAAGAUCACCGCCCUGGUGCCCAGCAUGAUGUACAUCAAGAGUAUUGCUCCUGCCAAGCGCAGGUACUCCAUGUGAAUCGGCAGCUCCGUCCUGGCCCAGCUGUCCACCGUCCGGCAGAUGUGGCUCAGGAAGCAGGAAUACAACAAGUCAGACACCUCCAUCGUCCACCGCAAAUGCUUCUAG
Molecule: RNA transcript, 1124 nt
Organism: Mandrillus leucophaeus (drill)
Lineage: Eukaryota; Metazoa; Chordata; Mammalia; Primates; Cercopithecidae
Gene name: actin, cytoplasmic 2-like
Exons: 1
Source: RefSeq, a predicted model, not a curated record